Molecule: long non-coding RNA, 732 nt
Filed under: Rattus norvegicus (Norway rat)
Lineage: Eukaryota; Metazoa; Chordata; Mammalia; Rodentia; Muridae
Description: long non-coding RNA NONRATT032471
Source: RNAcentral
UAAAAGCCCAGUAGAUGUGUCUGUCGGAUGCAGUUAGGCGGUCCUAAGGGAUGCAUUUUUGGGGGUGCCCUCCAAAAGCCUCCAUAGGGAAGAUGCUGAAGAAUGGAAUGUCCUUGCCUGGUUUAAGGUAAGUCGCUUGGGAGAAGUUCAUGGUCUUUGCUCUAUAACACAGGCAAAGUCAGCAGGGUGACUUUGUGCUACCCCACCACUGGGUUUGGAGUUAUUCCCCCACAGGAUGGAGAUGUGUUCAGCCUGCCAAGGGAGGGGAGGGUUAGAACUUCUUUUCUAAGCAAUGGAACCUUUAAAUAGAGAGCUUUCUCCCACCCCACCCGCCUCACCUCUCUCUCCUCUACCUCCCAGUCUCCUCUUGCACUCCUGCCACUCUCCCCAGCUGUAGGCUUUGAACAGCCUUCAUGGAUGGAGCUCCAGGGAAGAGAUGGGGAAUCUCUCGUGGGCUUGCAGGAACAACAGAGAAAUAGCGGGCAGAACAAGAAGGCUUGAUUUUAGAGGAUCUCAAGAUAAAGGGCAGGGGGCUCGGCUGUAGUGGAGCAGUGGGGAGGGCCGUCUGAUCAGACUGCCCGUCUCUCAGAGCAGCAGCUGACACGGCUCAGCCCGCAGGGAUGUCCAGAUCCAGACUUCUGGUUCUCCCUGGCUGCUCCAGUUUGUUUGCUUUGGCUUCAGGAUGUGUAUAAGAGUCACGUGGACACCAGCCAGCAUCCAGGGAGCAGUCAC